GUUGAGGGUCUCCAGGCCUGGAGUUGGCUGGCAGGAGUUGAGCAGGAAGCAGGUGGGCACGCAGGGCUGAGGAAUGUGGCAGGGUGGGGGACAGUUGUCACAGCAGGUGGGCUCCAGUAACCAAACUGUGUGUGGGCAGGUGCUGGGCAGGCAGACUCCACAGCGGCAGGAUUUGUCGGAGGAGCAGAUGGUGGUGGCAGGGCCGGUGGGGACGCUGCAGGAGCGGAGAGCACAGCAAUACAUGGCAAUGGGAGGUGGGUUUUUG
Molecule: long non-coding RNA, 265 nt
Filed under: Homo sapiens (human)
Lineage: Eukaryota; Metazoa; Chordata; Mammalia; Primates; Hominidae
Description: HSALNT0389770
Source: RNAcentral